AGGACACAGAGACCAGAUGGCCCUGCUUGAGCAGCACUAGCUUUGUUUCCUGGGGCCUUUAACUGUUGCAUGAAAAUUUCAGAUGAAAUUUCCAAAGGAAUUCUCAGAAGAGUGGAGAGAUUUGAAAUCCAGAAAGCUGGUGGCCUGUGUCACCUAGAGGCUGUUAUUCUCCACAUGAAAGGCAGAAAGUUCUGUGUGAAUCCAUGGAAUAAAAAAGUCAAAAAAAUGAUGAAGAAGAUGAAGCACAAGAUUCACAGGAGCAAAUUUCAUGUUAGAAAGCAGAGAAGAACCAGAAUUACCAAACAGAAAGAACAGAAGCAGUAGCAAAAUUAAGCAAGAUGAAGCAAAAUGACCCAUGAUGAAGAUUCUGUGGCAUAUGGCACUGCGGGCAAGGAUACUAGAUUUCACUAGUGAUGGAUGAUUGUAGCAUUAAAAUGACUUUUCAAAUCUCUAUGUGCUAGAAAAAGCAGAGGCAGAAAUCACCUGUGCUCAGAACAAUGCUGGUCAGACUAUCAGACAAAUGACAAAGUGUUCCUUGUAAUGUCUUGUAGCAAGUGUUCGUGGUACCUCCUAGAUCUUUUGUCAGACUUAAAUCUUUCUCUCUCUCACUCUACUUUUAUGGCAACCUCCCCUGUGACUUCUGUUUUAACAUGCUGUUCUUUCUCAUUCCUCCAUUUUUUCCCAGUCCUAUACUUGGUCUCUAUUCUUCCCUGUCUGAAAUCAUCUUUCUGCUGUUGUCUGUUUUGUUUAUAUUCUUCCAAUCAUAAUAUUUCUUUUUUUCUUAAUUUUGCAUAGUUUUACAAACACUUUUUCAGAUACUUCCAGCUUGCUUGCCAAAACCACAUAUUUUACCUGUUUUAAACAAUCUCUACUCCCAGCUGUUACUAUCAUGAAAUGUUAUUUUGGUGGUAAUAUCUCAUCCUUUUCACAGGACUCAAAGUGUGGCACUUAAAGCUAUGCAAUAUGCAAUAAAGAUCAUCUCUAUUGCUUUUGUUCAUUCAAUUUUGUUCAUUCAAAUACUCAGAUCUUUCAGAUAGGUCCUUCCUACUCUCUUCGCUGAAUUUCUCAUAAUCAAGACUGAGGAAUACAUCUAUCCCUCAAAGGCUUUUCCCAAAGACUAGCAAUGAUGACAGUCUGUCCACUCCAUAGCCUCCCUUCCACUGUACAGUACUGCUUCUCCUGUGUGGCACAGUCUGUAUUCCCUCCCUCCUUCCUUGGAAGCUUCAAAGUAAUUUAGUAUUUCCCCAAAGACAUCUCAUCAAUAGCACUUCUCCUCACAGACACGUAUACAGAAAGCAGCAAAUGAGGGAGAAGAGAGGUCUUUAAAAGAGUAAGUGCCAUAGAGUGCACACAUCUCACAAGCCAAAAAUACUUAAUAUAGCAGCACAACUCCGCUCUUUCUUCUCUUCCCCUAGCAAUUACUGUUUUUUUUUUCAAUCACUGCAUUUGACUUAAAUGAGGUCCUCUGAGUUGCCUCUAGUGUUUGCUUUGAAAUUUUUAUGUAAAACUACAUCCUGCAAGCAUGGCAAAAAGCAAGGCUGAUGAUAUGGGAUAGAAACAGCUGCUGGUAGAUUCCCCAGAUAAGAAAGAAGACGAAUAACCGCAGCAAGGUCACUAGAGAUAAACAGCAUACUCGUACAGAUGCAAAUCUGAAGAAAGAAACCUGACUGCCUCCAAAACAGAUAAGAGAAACAAUUACUGCUUUUAUGAGCCAACUGCCUUCUGACAGGGAUGAGGCAACUGAUAUAAUUCUUCUUCCAGAAUGUAGGGAAUAUUUUGUACAGCAUGUACACUGGCAUAGCUCCAUCCUCUGGCUGCUGGAAUAGCAGGAAGCCUACUGCUGGGAGCGGGAGCUGGGGCUGCUCUCUCUGACUCCAAGCCUGCACAGAAGCUCUUCCUCCCAAUGCUGUGCUUCGAAAACAGCUGAGGCAGAGGAUGUGACCUUGGCUAAUGCAAGCUGAAAUGGCAGACGCUUUCCACCAUUUCAUUUGCACUGCCUGGAGACUACAUGGAUAAUUAGCUAAUGGGUAUCACACAAAAUCCAAACCCUCUGGGCUCCAGGUCAGCAGAGCACCAGGAAUGCAAAACUGCUGAAGCACUUUACAAUAUGGCAUCAGCAUAUUACUCUUUCUGGCAGUUCCAUUUUCUUCCUCAUGUUCUACUCUCCAUUUCAGAUUUUGAACCUUCUUGCUUCCUUCAGAUUUCUAGGUGGAUUUAUGAUGGCAUCUCAGCUCCUCAGAGCAAUACCAUUAAUGCAACCAGUGACCUUUUAGAGUAUAAACAUACUGACUAAAGCAUGGACUAAUUUCCUUGGCUGUGCUAUGGGAGAGACCAUUUCACAGGAUUAGAGUAUGGCACAACCUUCCCAAGCUGAGGGAAGGAGAAGGGGCUAAUGCUGCUUUAGGUACAGGCUGCUGGGAAGCUCCAUGCAGGCUUGCAGAUCUGUCCUCUGACAGUUGUAGGAUCACAGCACAGCUGCAGUUUUCUCUCCCAUUUGGAAAGCAGUACAGAUACUACUAACAAGUUUUUGUACUGUCAGCGUUCUGGCCUCUAAAUCUUUGAUUCUUAUUAAUUUAGCAAUUCCUUCUUUGUAUUGAAAUUGACGACCCAACCAAAUAUGCAACACAAAUGUAAUUUAAAUAUAUGCAUUUACUGGACCUACUUUAAAGAAAGGCUCUAAUAUUUUUGUUUACAUCUUCCUGUUCUCCAGUGUGAUGUCUUCUAUUAGGUUCUCCUGGAAUCAAUAGAUCAAACUGAGAUAUUAUGAGAUUACAAAGUCCACUCCCUGCUUCCAGCUGCAUUUCAAGUUUUGGUUCUUGUGCAUUCCUUUGAGAACUGAAUUAGCAAUAACUUGUACCUGUUAUUCAAUCUUAAUAAAAACUUUCUUCCCUGAUAUUGGUAUAAGAAGUACCAAAACAACACUUGAAAGAUCCACUGCCUCAUACAGUUUCAUUUAUCUCUGAACGCUGACACACAAAUAUGUAGAAGAAAAAUCUUCCAGUUCUCAAAUCUUCACUUGAGUGAUCUCAUAUUCUCUGUACCUGAGCAUUAUUUUUGACCUUUGCUAUUUUGUACUUGGCAACAAAAGAAAAUCAAUGCCUUUUUCGUUGAAGUCAUCCCAACAUCUUGUUUUGUGGAAGAGAUUAUUAGGGCACAUGACUUUGUUUUCCCCGAAAAUGCUGAAUAAAGGUCUCUUUUCAAUAGGUUUAGGUGCCUAAAGAUGCAUAGUUGGAUGCAUUUGAAAACACCAGUUAGUAUUUUAGUGGCUUAGAAAUGUACCUUCCAUAGAAUUAAGUCCAAAUUAGACUUGUAAUUAAUAUUCUUGAGAAUUGCAAUAAAAUCUCUCUUACGUACUUUUAAGAAACAGCUUAACAGAUUAUUAUCAACCACCUUUUAAAUUUAUUUUAAGAGCUAUUAGCUUAAUGUGACAGCCUCUAAGUCUUUAGGAUGCUUUAAAGAAAUAACAGAUGGCAUUGCUUAAGAACUGCUAAACAAAAACAAAGAACGUGUUGGGUCUAUUAAAGCAAAACCAGCACCCUGAAUUUGA
Taeniopygia guttata (zebra finch) is the source of this 3547-nucleotide long non-coding RNA. NCBI's taxonomy places the organism in Eukaryota, Metazoa, Chordata, Aves, Passeriformes, Estrildidae. The record is from Ensembl.